UGGUUGGUUUGCUGACUGGCAGGCUUGUUGGCUUCCUCUUCUUGGCAAUUAUCGUUGACGAUGGUUUUCGGUCUAUGUAGAUUACUUCUAGAUGAAUGCGGUGUUUGUUGUUUGUUUGGUUGGUUGGUUGGUUGCUAUGUGUUUGUGGUGGAUCUAGUUGAAAAAGCUGCGCAUGCUCAGUCUCAUAGGUUUUUAGUUUGGAUGAUUUUUGCUGUGGUUGUCGUCUCGUUGGACUUGCUAUCUGCUGCUGGCUCCCUCUCAAAGCGCCUCUCUUUCUCGGAGCUUCAGGCCACCACAGCUGACUGGUUUAAUUUGCAUAUUUCUGUUGGAUCUUCUGAAACAAGAAUAAAAAACAACAAAAAUUAGCAUGUGUUAGAAAUACAAAUAUUUAUAAGAAAAUA
Molecule: long non-coding RNA, 401 nt
Organism: Stomoxys calcitrans (stable fly)
Lineage: Eukaryota; Metazoa; Arthropoda; Insecta; Diptera; Muscidae
Exons: 2
Source: RefSeq, a predicted model, not a curated record